GAAGCUGUCGUGAGUUCUCUUUGUUUCGUGUUAAUCGUUGUUUACUUGGAUUUUUCCUCAUUUUUGUCCGAGGAUGUUCGUAUUCCAGCCUGGUACUAAGGUCUAAUAUGUAGUACGCCUGUGACAAGAAGAAGACGACGAUGAAGCAGCAGACAUAACUGAGGUUGUAUCCAUGGAUGUGGAAUCAUCAGACGAAGAAGAAAAUGUCCGUGUUGGGCCUUCAGAUGAUGUAGAAGAGUCCGAUAUGUCCAUGCUUAAACGCAGCU
Molecule: long non-coding RNA, 266 nt
Organism: Macrobrachium nipponense
Lineage: Eukaryota; Metazoa; Arthropoda; Malacostraca; Decapoda; Palaemonidae
Exons: 3
Source: RefSeq, a predicted model, not a curated record